Molecule: long non-coding RNA, 299 nt
Filed under: Bos taurus (domestic cattle)
Lineage: Eukaryota; Metazoa; Chordata; Mammalia; Artiodactyla; Bovidae
Description: long non-coding RNA NONBTAT001717
Source: RNAcentral
AGCAAAUAGUGUAAUGUAGAAAAAGGUAAGAUGUCAUCAGAUGAAGGCCCACUGACUCACAGUGAAAAUAAGACUUACGUCCCAUUGAGAACGUAUAUAUUGUUUUUGUUGACUGAAAUGAGGGAGAAACUUACUUAGCAAAGUGGUCAAUGUGGGGGAAAAAAUUCCCACUUUGAAGUUUCAGCUGUUUCUAAGAUACUUGAAAUAACUUUGACAGUCUACUUUUAUGCCAUAUUUUGCUCAUUUUUGCUAUAUUUGGACUUUGACUCAUAUGCAUAUUAUUGGUCAGAUUUACUGAC